CUCGGGUGUGGCCUGGGGGCUUUCGAGGGCAGAUGCCUUGGAGCAGGAGAAAUGGGCAGUGCUACUGGACCUGAUGGAUCCAGCGGCAUCCUUUUCCUGAAAGAGAUUCUAAUGUUCCACCUGUGCUCUUCCUCCCUGCGGGGUCACCAAAGUAACUCAAAGCUGACCAUCAUUGCCUCUAACCAUUAGAGCAAAUAGCUCUAUCAUUUUCUUAUUUCUCACCACCUAUUUCGUGCCUGGCACUGUGUUUAAUGCUAGAUCACAAGCUCAUCUUUUUUCCUGUUUUUUCAACCUGGGUCAGUAUGAUGCAGGACUAGAGAGAAAUGAGAAGAGAAAAAUGAGGGUCAGUCUAUGAGCCAAGAGACAAAGUCAUGGGAAGACAGCUGAGGCUAAUUCCAGAAGGUCCUCCUAGGAGAAGCCAAAGCAGGGGACACACCUCAAAAUAGAGCCAUGCAUAGAACCACUCAUAGCCAGACUGCAAGGCAGGAACAUGAGGAUGGUCACUAGGAGGCCAACAAAUUCUGCUAAAGGGGAUUCUUUUUAUAAAAUACACUCUUUCAGGACAUUGUCAGAUCCUCUGCAUAUAGUCCUCAAAAUACGUCCUUGAUCCAGCUUGUUUUAAGUGUUUAUGCAAAAUAAUGGUAUGUUUGAAAGUGUUAGAUAUUAAUUUUUUAUUUCUGUUUUGAAGGCAUUCAAGUAUCACGGACUAUCAGCACCUUCGUUUCUUUUUUUUUUUUUUUUAAGCCAAAGCUACUGGAUCAAAAGUAAUAUACUGCUUUGUUUGUAUGUGAUGUUUGGGGAGAAGAAAAGUCGAAAUUCACAUAACUGAAAUUUUAAUCAAUCCUAACACUCUUUUUUUAUGAUGAGCCAUAUGUAUGAUCCAUAAACAGCUUCUAAACCUAUCCAUGUAAUCACAGCUCAGGUUAGAAAGGUUGCCUGUGUAGAGCAGGGUCAUAGGAUGAGCUCCCUCGAGGGGGCAGGAGGCUGCUGGAGGAGUGAACAUCAAGAAGCCUACAGGGAAGCAGUACACCAGCUGGAAAAACAUGACACCAGAUGCAAUAAUAAUCAUGAAGAGAUGUAGGCCCCACAACAGCCAAGGAUUUUGUAAAAAGGAAAGGAAGAUACUUGGGUGAAUGAGCCACUUUAUAUGCCAGUUCUGGGUGACACUUAAACACCAGCGUCAGGAAAAUCAAUCCUCAGUAGUUAGCUACCCACUGACCUACCCUUUUGCACCUAAGCUACAAGUACAUUUGUAGUCAUGAGAAGCACAAUCCCAAGUUCUAACCAUGCUCUUCAAAAGACCACUCAUCAUUGAGGGAGUUUGUUUAUUAAAACCAAUCUGUGGAACUUCCAGCUCCCUGGUGGAUCUUAAAAUUUCAGGAAAAAAAGUUAUAUUUACCUUCAAACCCAAAAUUCAGAAUGUGAAUUUAUAAUAUCACCAUAAAACUCUGUGAAAAUUGAGUUUUACCUUGGAAGAAAUAAUAUAGGUUGAUGAUCAGUCAUGUAACGUGCCUGAAAUACAAACAUAUUUAUGGGAACUCACACUUUCCUUAGAACCCAUCAGUGAGAACAACAGGUGAGCUCCUGCUUCCCAGCUUUGUACUAAGAAUAUUGGUUACCUUGUCUUAUGGAAAACGAGGAUGUCUUGGAUUUGCAUCCAAAUAAUCCAAUGCAGGUAGUUAGCAAGGAACACAGCAAGUGGAUUAGAGGAUAAACAAGACAAGAAUGGCCAUGUGAAAGCCGGGAUAUGGAUACAUGAGGGUUCGGGUAUGCUCUACUUGGGUGUGUUUUCAAGUUUUCCAUAAUAAAAAAUGUAAAAGUGUAUUUAAAUGUUUCACUUAGGCUGGGUGUGGUGGCUCACUCUGUAAUCUCAGCACUUUGGGAGGCCAAGCAGGCAGAUCACUUGAGGUCAGGAGUUUGAGAGCAGCCUGGCCAACAUGGUAAAACCCUGUCUCUACUAAAACUACGAAAAAUUAGCCAGGUGCAGUAGCAUGCACCUGUAAUCCCAGCUGCUUGGGAGGCUGAGGCAGGAGAAUUGUUUGAACCUGGGAGGUGGAUGUUGCAGUGAGCCAAGAUAGUGCCACUAUACUCCAGCCUGGGUGACAGAGCGAGACCCUGUCUCAAAAAUAAAAAUUAAAUUAAAAUAAUUUUUUAACU
RNAcentral lists this long non-coding RNA (2157 nucleotides) under Homo sapiens (human). RNAcentral's name for it is "HSALNT0307496". The record is from RNAcentral. Lineage: Eukaryota; Metazoa; Chordata; Mammalia; Primates; Hominidae.